CGCCGUGCGACCACAGCAGCCACAUCAUGGCGGCGCGACGAAGCAGCCCACGCCGGCGCCUCACUGCCGCUCCCCUCUCCCUCUAACCUUCUAACCUUGCUCCGCCACCCGCCCCUCGGCGCCUUCCGCUCCGCCCGUCGGCCUUCUCCUCCGUGGAUCUCGGCUGGUCGAUCCUGCCCGUGGGCGCGUGGCUGGAUCGCCCGACAUCUCAACUCCGGCGCCAACCGGCUCUGCUCCGGCUCUUCCGCCAUCCUGCUCGCCUGCCUCCUCGUGCGACCUACUACCUCCACAACAACAAAAAUGUUCCUUGAAUUUCUAAAUCAGAAAGAGUGAUGCUCAAUGAGAUUUAGGUCAUGCUAAGACAUCGACAAUCAAUGCCGACAAGCCUCCACUAUCUAUUGUGGAAAUUAACAACUGUGUUGAGCAAUUCGGAAAUGCAGGUACAAAAAGAAAAUUACUCACCACUGAAAUGAGAAAUGUAUGGCUUUGUUCGCAACUGUGCCUGACAAAUAUAGAAAUUCGUAAGAAAUUAAUCUCUUCUGCACUGUACAUGAGGCGAUACACAAGCUGAUCUCAUUAGGCGAAAUGCAGGCUGAAUCCUGGCUGAUAUGUGUAUAGUUCAGUGGAGUAGCAUCCUGUUUCUUCCCAAUGUAUUUGACUUGAUACUUCCUCGCGUUUUGUUAGACAUACUUCUGUAGUCCCGUUUGGGUAACGCGGGUGUACACUGAGUGAAAAGCUGACAUGAUCCAGAUAUUGUUUAGUCUUGUGAAAGGCGGUGUGUAUAUUGGUACAGAAAAAGCCUAGAUUGUACUGAUUUUGGCAGGCAAGCAUACAGUUUUUAGGAGUAUACUAAC
This is a long non-coding RNA of Triticum dicoccoides, 854 nucleotides long. RefSeq lists it as uncharacterized. The record is from RefSeq and is a predicted model, not a curated record. NCBI's taxonomy places the organism in Eukaryota, Viridiplantae, Streptophyta, Magnoliopsida, Poales, Poaceae. The transcript is spliced from 3 exons.